This is an RNA transcript of Herpailurus yagouaroundi (jaguarundi), 5701 nucleotides long. It is a transcript of the gene named DIX domain containing 1, with no coding region annotated. NCBI's taxonomy places the organism in Eukaryota, Metazoa, Chordata, Mammalia, Carnivora, Felidae. The record is from RefSeq and is a predicted model, not a curated record. The transcript is spliced from 20 exons.
CAGCGCCCCUCCACCCUUUGCGCGCCCAGCUGUUUCUAUAGGAACCGCGACAGCGCCCGGGCCCCUCCGGCAGAGGCCCCGGUGCGAGCAUGCCCAGUGGAAGCCGCUAGUUUGGCUCCGGUCUAGGUUUCCAGUAAGUGGCCUGCGGGACUCCGGAGAGAUCCCCGUGAGCUGAGCGGAGAGUCUUUGUGUGCAGAGGGAGGAGGCGGUGGCGGCGGCCGCCUGGCCUGGAGACCCCGCCCGGGAGCCCCCGCCAGGAACAAUGCUAGCCUGCUUGACCCGGGGGAACUUACUGGACGUCCUGCAGGAGGGCUUCAAUGAGCAACAGCUCCAGGCGUAUGUGGCCUGGGUGAAUGCACAGCUCAAGAAGAGGCCAGCAGUGAAGCCGGUGCAGGACCUGCGACAGGAUCUUCGGGAUGGGGUGAUCCUGGCAUAUCUCAUCGAGAUCGUUGCAGGAGAAAAGCUGAAUGGGGUACAGUUGAGUCCCAGUAACCAACAGGAGAUGAAGAACAAUGUGGAGAAAGUGCUACAGUUCGUGGCCUCCAAAAAGAUUCGUAUGCACCAGACUUCGGCUAAAGAUAUUGUGGAAGGAAACCUGAAGUCUAUCAUGAGGCUGGUCCUUGCCUUGGCAGCUCAUUUCAAACCUGGCUCCAACAGGACAGUGAGCCAAGGACGGGACUCCAGAACCCCUCUGCAGAGUCACCAACCACACUGUGCCACUGCUGUGGCCCAGGGGGCAGCUGCCGCUCUGGCCGACGUGUGUCAUGACAUGUCACGGUCGGGACGGGAUGUCUUUCGAUACAGGCAGAGGAACAACAGCGUGGACGAGGAGAUUGAGAACCCGUACUGGAGCGUGCGAGCCCUGGUGCAGCGGUACGAAGGGCAGCAGAGGUCCCCGUCUGAGUCCAGCUGUAACAGCCUGACUUCACCCAGUCCUAUCCACAGCGCAAAGAGCGAGUCCAUUAUAACCCAGUCGGAGGAGAAGGCAGAUUUUGUGAUUAUUCCCUCUGAAGGGAUAGAGAACAGAACAGAGGAGACAGACUCUCCGUUUUCCCGAGAGUGGCGACCAGGCAGCCCCGGGACCUGUCUGGAGACCUCAUGGGAAGAACAGCUGCUGGAACAACAAGAACAUUUAGAAAAAGAAAUGGAGGAAGCAAAGAAAAUGAUAUCAGGAUUACAGGCCUUACUGCUCAAUGGAUCCUUACCUGAAGACGAACAGGACAGGCCCUUGGCCCUCUGUGAACCGGGAGUCAAUCCUGAGGAACAACUGAUUAUAAUCCAAAGUCGUCUGGAUCAGAGUAUGGAGGAGAAUCAGGACCUAAAGAAGGAGCUGCUGAAAUGUAAACAAGAAGCCAGAAACUUACAGGGGAUAAAGGAUGCCUUGCAGCAGAGGCUGACUCAGCAGGACACAUCUGUUCUUCAGCUCAAACAGGAACUGCUGAGGGCAAAUAUGGACAAAGACGAGCUACACAACCAGAAUGUGGAUCUGCAGAGGAAGCUGGAUGAGAGGAACCGGCUCUUGGGAGACUAUAAAAAAGAGCUGGGGCAGAAGGAGCGCCUCCUUCAGCAGCACCAGGCUAAGUUGGAAGACGCACUCCGGAAACUCUCUGAGGCCAGUUACCAGCAGGUGGAUCUAGAGCGGGAGCUAGAACACAAAGACGUCCUUUUGGCUCACUGUAUGAAAAGAGAGGCAGACGAGGUGACCAGCUACAACAGACACAACUCUCAAAGCAAUGGUUUUUUCCUUCCAGCGGCAGGAAAAGGAGCUGCUUCCGUCACUCACAAAGGGACCAGCGAUCUGCAGCUGGUUCGAGAUGCCCUCCGAAGCCUGCGCAAUAGCUUCAGUGGCCACGAUCCUCAGCACCAUACCAUUGACAGCUUGGAACAGGGCAUCUCCAGCCUUAUGGAGCGCCUGCAUGCCAUGGAGAGCCAGAAGAAACAAGACAGAAGGGAUUUUUGUGUGGCUCCUCAGGUUCGGGGCAAGUUACCAAGAACUCAAGCAGGUAGUGAAUACCGGGAAUCCUGGCCCCCUAAUUCAAAGUUGCCUCACUCACAGAGCUCUCCGGCUGUCAGCAGCACCUGCACUAAAGUGCUCUAUUUCACUGACCGGUCACUUACACCCUUCAUGGUCAAUAUACCAAAGAGGUUGGGGGAGGUGACACUAAAGGAUUUUAAAGCAGCCAUUGACCGGGAGGGGAAUCACCGGUAUCAUUUUAAAGCGCUGGAUCCUGAGUUUGGCACUGUCAAAGAGGAGGUACAGAAUCCGAGGGGAGUCUGGGUGGUGUGCUGCUGAUUCCCAGAGCCACCUCCUCAGGGACUGAUACCCAGCAGUACCCGAGUUCCCUAACCAGGUUUUCCACGAUGACGAUGCCAUCCCUGGUUGGGAAGGGAAAAUUGUAGCCUGGGUGGAAGAAGACCAUGGAGAGAAUUAAUGCUGAGUAUUAGACUGGGGGCUUGUGGAACUUGGCGCCCCCUGGCUGUUUCACUCAGGAAAGAGGACUAAAAUACACUAAGAAGUUUCUAGUUCGUGCUACCAAAACAGAAGCUUCUCCAAGUGUAACAGCCCCAGGCCAGUGCUGUUUCUGUGCCUGGUAUAUGUAGUACAUUUUUUAAAACCCCUGUCAACUGUAGACCAUGGGUCCAUCUGGAGUUCCUUGUCCGUGGGAACACAGUGUUUUAUUCUACUCUGAGGACAACAAACCAAAGGCCUUAACCAAUGGGAAUGGAUGAUCCCGCUCCUGUAGGGGCAUGGCUGCUAUUAUCUGGAACCUGGGAAUUGGAUGCAUCACUCCUGUGUGUUACAGUUUUAUUUUAAUUGGCCUCAAUGGUUGCAGCAAUCAGAGUCCCAGCAUUUGUACUCACAGACAAGGCAAAGGUACCAGCUUUUUUGCUUCUUUGCAGCUAUUGCAAACCAAGAAUAACUCAUGAGGCGGUACCAAAGAUGAAAACCCACUCUUCAGGAAUUUUUUGGACCGGACAUGGAUGGUGCUGAACUGUUGACUGGAUGGAAAAAGCCCAUAUCGUGCUAUACUUGCUAAAACCACGAUUGAGGAAGACCUUUGGCUGCCUCUUGUGUCUUAACUGGUUCUGCAACUUGUCCUUUAGCCCAUGGAGGGCAUGUUUCAUGUACUGCCAGUUUUCUCUAGGGACUCUGUCACUGUAGAGCCAUGUUUUCCCCUUCCAACUGAUGAACUUUGUGUUUGAAAGAAAAAGGAGUUUAAAGUCUCCUUAAAAAUCCAGGCGGGUAUGGAAAGGUGCUGCUACCCAUAUUUUCUUGACUUUCUUUCUCUCAUGACUUCCUGUAGCUCGUGGCAUCUCCUCUUCAGUCAAAAGGAGACAGACCAUUACUUUUGGUAUUUGUGAUUUAUGAGUACUGAGCAUGAGUCACUGGUCUGCCCCUCCUCAUUUCAAGGCCAGAGUUAUUUUCUAUUAUAUAUUUAGUCUAGGUUGAUCCUUUAGGGCACAAUAGGAACCAUGGGGCAUGGAGCAUGAGUUGUGAAUGGCAGGGUUGAUUCUGGGUAAAAAACCUAGAAUCCUUUCUCAUGUGCAACACUGUCCAGUGUAGAAGCUAAAAGAAGAGUUAAACUUUCAGAGAUUACUGAAUAACUAGGGUUUUCUCCGUCACUUACCAAACACCAUCAACUAAUCAGCCAUAUGUAUAUAUAUGUAUGUACACACACACACACACACACACACACACACACACACACACACACACACACAUUCAUUCAUUCCCCGAAGCAGUCAGCCUGUGACCACUGCCAACCAGAAGAGUCAGACAUGUCAGUUCUGGGUUCUUGAUGUGUCUGUCUCUAUUUCAUCUCCCUUUUCCAACUGUUUUAACAAACUACUCACUGGAGCUCUGAAAUGACAUUUUGUUGUUUUAUAUAGAUGUGUCUUUUAAAAAUAGUUCAUGUUUGGAGAAUUCUUUUGUACUCAUUUGCCUUUUGUCUGAGAACCAUGUCUAUUUUUGUAACUUGAGUGUGAGUUCUGUAUCUUCUCACAUUCUGAUACUGUAUCCAUUUUCUAGAGAACCCAGUAGCUUUUAUACAGGCUCUUCUCUUAGCCCUUGUGGUUUCAGAACAAGCUUUAUUUUGUUACAAGUAUGCUGAUGACAACUAACUCCUGGUUCUAAUUCUACCUGCCAUUUUCCUUGUGGAGGUAGUUUUAUCUUGUGGAGAUAGUUUUACAUAAUCUAUUUGAUUGCUCCUCUAGCAGAUGAAGGAGCUCAUAAGAUACCUGAUAUCUUUCAGUAAGUUCACUUGAUCUUCUCCUUUUGAAGAAUUUCUCAUCAAAAAUGACUGGGAAAGUUUGGGACAGUCAGUCAAAAGCAAGAAUAAUACAUUAUGAAGCAAACAGAAGAAAACAGUAUAUUCUGAGUGUUUUUUUCCCCCAGGAAGUCUGGAGUAAAAGUCCUCAUGUCACCAAUUUCUCUGUUGCAUGAAUUUUAGUGUUUUACUAUAAGACAGCAUGAGAGUUGUCAGGCCAAAAUCCAUUACUGUAUUUCCAGUACAAUUGAUCUUGAAUGUCUGUUUCUUUAGUUUUUGCUUGUCAGUUUUCUUUGAGCAAACGUCCUUACCGUUAUGGAGAAUUUAACUUUUCAGAGAAAAUUGAGUGGAAGAAAAAUGCCAAAGUCCUUCACCUUAUUUGGCUUUUAUAGCUCUGUCCUUUGGAAGAGGAGAUGCAUGGCCUUAGAGCCUCUAUAGAAAUCUGAAGUUGAAGUCAGGGGAGAAAAUGAGAUCAUUUUUCCCCCUUUAGCUCAUGAAUCUCCUAUGCCACAGGUAAUAACGAAACACCCGGAUGACAGGAUGUCACUCCAGUAAUUCCUGUGUACAGUGUAUUGGCAAUCCUCAUUCCAGUUUCUGAAGACCAGAACCUUGUGAGGAAGUGUUGUGCUUUGGUUCCUUCUGGUUUGAAUUGAUUGCUGUUUGUUACUCUGGCUGCACUAGGAGCCUCUUGAUUUAUUUAGAGAACUGUCCCCUAGUGACAUUUUUGAGGGGUAGUCCAUCCUGACACUGCUGAAAUUCUCUUUGAAAAAACCAAGGGACUAGAAUGUCUUGAGCUCACAUAACCUCUAAAUCCUGUUAGAUUAAAAAAAAAAAACGAUCCUCUCACAAAAACUAGUUUAGAAGAAAGCUCAGUUCCUCAAAAGUCAUCAUUUAAAAAUUGACACCUAUUCUCAGUUCCCUAAAUUAGCUGGAAUUGGAACAUUAUAUAAUUUGUACCUAAAGAAUUUGAGUUAAACUCUCCUUAUUGGCAUUCCUACUUACUACCAUUUCAGCUCCUUUUGACCAGGAUAGUUGAAAAUUAGGGAAAACAUAUCAAAUCCAAGAGGACUCUAAUAAUUACUGAAAAGCAUUCAUGGCAUAGUUAUAAAUUUCAUUUUUUCCAUAAAAUAAGCAUUAUGAUUGCACACUCCUAUUGUCUGAAUUUAUGUAAGAGGUAUAGCUUGCUCAAAAUAUAUAUGUAAAAUUAUAUUUUUCUUAGAAACAUGGAUGUUUGCAAGCAUUGCUUUCAAAGAGAUUACCACCAUGCAUUCUCCCUGUUUUAUGUUUUCAUGAAGACUGUGUUAUACCAGAGGCUUCUGAUUAUCAAAGCGAUAACCAGUUUUUUAACUGCCUGUAUGUACCAGAUUUGUGAACUAAUUUUUAAAAAAGCAGAAAAAAACAUGAAUAAAAUGGAGUUUGCAAACUAAAUACCA